Molecule: long non-coding RNA, 559 nt
Filed under: Piliocolobus tephrosceles (Ugandan red Colobus)
Lineage: Eukaryota; Metazoa; Chordata; Mammalia; Primates; Cercopithecidae
Description: lncRNA (ENSPTEG00000001303.1)
Source: RNAcentral
AAGUUUCCCCUCUCUUUCUUAUCCUGACAAUUUAUCUGUUGAAGAAUCUGAAUCCUUUGACCUGUGAAAUUUCCCACAAUCUGGAUGUUGCUGAUGAAGUAUUCUCGGUGGAGUUCAACGUGUUCUGGACUUCCUAUGAUGUAGCAGCUGGAUCCCAAGAAAUAACAGCAAAUAAGUACAAGAAAGAGAGAGACAGCAAGAAUUACAGCCUGUAUGGAAGACGACUCUAAAUAAUGAUGAUAAUAUUGGUGGAAUCAAAGCAUCUAGAAGACCAUGCAUUCCAUUUUAAAUCUAGUUGAGAUGGCAUAAUUCAUACCUCCUCAAAUGUGGACAAUUAUAAAUGACUCAACCAGCAGGUGCCAAAUUCCACCUCCACCCUGAGUAUACUUGAAGCAACCACCUAAACCCAAGCUAAUAGCCAGAUGUAUGCUCACUGAAUGGAUAACUCACCUAACCUUGAGAAGCUCCUUAAAGUACUCUCCUGAUCUUCUGGCAAAUAAUUCAGCAAACAUCUUUCGUUGCUUGAGAAUGCCCUGGGAGGCCUCCUCCUUAUCCUCAG